UGUAGCUCAAAUGGUGGAGUGCUUGCCUAGCAUGCAGGAGGUCCUGGGCUCAAGCCCCAGCA
Molecule: transfer RNA, 62 nt
Filed under: Neotoma lepida (desert woodrat)
Lineage: Eukaryota; Metazoa; Chordata; Mammalia; Rodentia; Cricetidae
Rfam family: tRNA
About the family: Transfer RNA (tRNA) molecules are approximately 80 nucleotides in length. Their secondary structure includes four short double-helical elements and three loops (D, anti-codon, and T loops).
Source: Rfam by way of RNAcentral